UGAAACCUGAUACUGCAAAUUUCACAGCCUCUUCUAGGUUCCUGAGGAGGCCUGGCUGAGCUCCGUGUCUAACAGGCCUCCAGCCUACACGCAGCCUGCCCUCCUGCCCUGGAGACUCCAGCUCCUGCUGUGACCCUAAGCCGGCCCUACCCACUCUGGGCGAGUCGUCUCCCAUCUGUGUGUGUGAGAGCUUCUUUGACUGUCCUCCUGAGUAGCAGGCCCUCUGCCCCCGUGAACCACAGCAGUGACACAGAAGGAUUCUGAAAGAAAACCGAUAAAAUGCACCUAAGCCAUCCAAAAAAAAAAAAGAAAAAAAAAGCAGAAUCCGUGCGCGAAGGAGCUGCAACAUGGAAAACGGGCCAGAGGCACGUAAGAGAGGAUGUGGGGAGACCACUUAGGAGGCCGUUGUGGUCCAGGGAAGAAGGACGGUGGUUUGGAUUUGGAUGGGGCAGUGACGAUGCAAAGCGCUGCACACGGUCCAAAGCGACUGAGGCAAUAAGAUGGGGAGAGAUGUGGUCAUCUGGCCACGGAGGCUCAGGGGGAGAGGUGUCAAAGGCCUCCAAGUUUCUGAGGGGCACAGCUGGCUGGUGCCUCUCACCGGGCGCUGGCCAGGGCUGCCGCCGGACGGGACAGGACGCCCAUCCAUCAGCAAAUCCUGGUAACUGUGCCUUCAAAACACAUCCUGAACUGGACCACCUGUCACCACCUUUGCCACUGCCGCCCCAGUCCACCUCCUGGAUUUCCGCAGGAGCCUCCUAAUUGCCUCCGUGCCUCCACCUCUAGCCCCUCCAGCCUGUUCCCAACAAAGCAGCCAGACGGCCCUUUGAAAAUAUAAGAGCCUGUCGCUUCCGUGUUGAA
This is a long non-coding RNA of Physeter macrocephalus (sperm whale), 858 nucleotides long. RefSeq lists it as uncharacterized. NCBI's taxonomy places the organism in Eukaryota, Metazoa, Chordata, Mammalia, Artiodactyla, Physeteridae. The transcript has 3 exons. The record is from RefSeq and is a predicted model, not a curated record.